UACGUAGGGGGCGAGCGUUGUCCGGAUUUAUUGGGCGUAAAGAGCUCGUAGGCCGUUCGGUAAGUCAGAUGUGAAAACUCCAGGCUCAACUUGGAGACGCCAUCUGAUACUGCCGUGACUAGAGUCCGGUAGGGGAGCACGGAAUUCCUGGUGUAGCGGUGAAAUGCGCAGAUAUCAGGAGGAACACCAGCGGCGAAGGCGGUGCUCUGGGCCGGAACUGACGCUGAGGAGCGAAAGCGUGGGGAGCAAACAGG
Molecule: ribosomal RNA, 254 nt
Filed under: uncultured bacterium
Lineage: Bacteria
Description: partial 16S ribosomal RNA
Rfam family: Bacterial small subunit ribosomal RNA
Source: RNAcentral